GGGGGCAACCCUGAUCCAGCCAUGCCGCGUGAGGGAUGAAGGCCUUCGGGUUGUAAACCUCUUUUAGCAGGGAAGAUGGAUGGGAUGGACGGGUCCGAGAUAGUUGGACCGUCUCUUUACGUGCCGCCUGGUCUAAUAUAUGCCCGCGGUUAUAAUAAUAG
This 161-nucleotide ribosomal RNA is filed under the name uncultured bacterium. RNAcentral's name for it is "partial 16S ribosomal RNA". It matches the Rfam family "Bacterial small subunit ribosomal RNA", at positions 373 to 533 of the family's 1533-position model. The record is from RNAcentral.